RNAcentral lists this long non-coding RNA (691 nucleotides) under Phaseolus vulgaris (common bean). Its description in RNAcentral is "long non-coding RNA (PVUL_LNC002090)". The record is from RNAcentral. Lineage: Eukaryota; Viridiplantae; Streptophyta; Magnoliopsida; Fabales; Fabaceae.
UUCAUCAUUUCAUUCCUUUCUCUAUUAAAGUCUUCUUCUUGUUUUAUUCUCUGUUUCAGAAAUCAGUGACCUAACCUUCCCCAUAAAUAUGAGGUUUUUCUCUAAAACCUAAAAUUUCCUAUGAGAAUUCAAUAAUUAAGGAAAAUAAAAACUAGUAAAAACAGAAAAGAAACAUAAAAAAUAAAAUCCAAAAUAUAACAAGUAAACCCUCCAGAAAUUUCAUCACACUUGUUUUCCUUUUUUUAUUCUUUUAUUUUCCAUCUUCUAGAAAUGAGGGUUGAAGGGCUAAUCAAAUACAAAUGGAAGAAAAAUAAACUAAUCGCACCAAAAACAAAAAAAAAAUAAAACUUUAAUCUUCUAUCUCUAUCAUUUCAAUCCUUUCUCUCUUAAAGUCUUCCGCUGCUGAAACUGUUUUGCUUCUUGUUUUAUCCUAUACCUCAGAAAUCAGUGGGCUAACCUUUCCCAAAAAAGAUGAAGUUUUUCUCCUCAGAUAAACUAUAAUGUAUAGUCACCUCCUUUUGUUUCGCACUCAUUUUUCUUAUUCGGUUCUUUCUCGUUUCUUGUACCUGGAGGAAUGAUAUGAAAUGUUGAGCAUUUAAAUAUUGGAAAAUUGGCUCCAAACUUCAUAUUUCAAAUUUCAUUGUGUACAUAUAUGUUACAGACUUGUCUUCUUUGACACAAUUAAGGUCCU